UACGUAGGCAGCAAGCGUUGUUCGGAAUUACUGGGCGUAAAGAGUGUGUAGGCGGUGCUCUAAGUUCGGUGUGAAAGCCCCCGGCUCAACUGGGGAGGGUCACUCGAUACUGAUCGACUCGAAGGCAGGAGAGGGAAGCGGAAUUCCCGGUGUAGUGGUGAAAUGCGUAGAUAUCGGGAGGAACACCAGUGGCGAAGGCGGCUUUCUGGCCUGUUCUUGACGCUGAGGCGCGAAAGCUAGGGUAGCAAACGGG
This 253-nucleotide ribosomal RNA is filed under the name uncultured bacterium. RNAcentral's name for it is "partial 16S ribosomal RNA". It matches the Rfam family "Bacterial small subunit ribosomal RNA", at positions 524 to 776 of the family's 1533-position model. The record is from RNAcentral.